UUCUACCCUGCUGUCAAAAGGUCAAACGGUCAAAAGGUUAUAAGGUCAUAAGGCGAUCAGUUCGAUAGUUUCACACAGUCUACCCGUCUAUGAGUCUACCACAGCCAAGGCAACUGUGCCAGAGAAAAUAACUCAUACCGGUAAAUCUCUAGUUCUAUAAAACCCUAAAUCCAGGAUGAUAGCUUUAUUUUUCAACUAAUGCUAAGCUAGCUUGCGUAGCGAAAUCUAGCUGCCGAUGUUAGCCCGCUAACUGUGUCAACUAGCUAGCUGUUAUGGAGGGGGAUGGAGAUAAGAUGACAAUAAAAUGACCCAUAAAGCAUAAAACAUGGCUACUAAACACUUUACCACCACGAACGACAGAGGAAGGGACUGUGGCAUCACAGCAAUCAAUUUGAACAUCAGGUAGGGCUAUACUGUGGAAAAGUACUCUGGUUUCUGGAAAUGAAGAGGUGAUGCUGACCAAAUAUCUCCAAGGAACUCUCCAUGUUUCCAGGUCAAAGGCUUUCCACCAGAUGGAGGUGAUGCUAGCUGUGAGGAUUCUUCGCCAUCCAGAAGCAUGAGUGCUAAUGAGGUUACAUAUUGGGUCAUAGUUCAAGUUCCCCCAAAGAUGUUGGAGAGGAUUGCAGAACGGGCUCUUUGCAGCUCCUCCUGUGAGACCUGGAUCUGUGCGUCAGGAAUUGAUGGCCAGUUUGCCCCGAUAAGAUAAACCCGAGGCUGGACUGACCUUUGAGCUUGAGUCUUCAUUUGUAAUCUGCUUGUGAGAAACUGGACGAAACAACACCCUAAAGAUGUCCCUUUUUGUGAACUCUUCCCGAGACCCUUGAAAAUCAUCGCAAGACGCUGUAGGAACAGUUGGCAAUUCCUGAUGGACAAGGACCUGCUGCCGUUCCAACCCUGAUCAGUAAAAUUGAAAGUCCGACACGGCCCAGGUAGAUGAAGAGGUCUUUGUUGUGUUGAGUUCAGAGAAGCUGAAGGAAUCUGCUGCUGGUCCUGGAAAGCCUCGCAGCUCCAAACCAGCACUCUUCCGUCUUAAGUUAAACCAUUUUGUGAGUUUAUUUUUACCAAGAAAAAUGCAAGAACUCAUCUUCAUCAAACUGGAGUAAAGCCACUUGUGACCAGAUUUGACAGCAGGGUGGAUCUACACAUCUCUCCUGGUUGACAGGAUGCCGUGGUAUUGACCCGUCAAUCACAGGCAGGGAUUUCAGGGCCCAUAACAAAGUAUCAUAUCACAGAUAUUCACUACCAGAGACUCCAUCCUUGGACACCUCCUCAAACAUCAGAACAUUUCAACAUGAUGACAUAGUUCAAGGCAAACCACACUCUUGCUCUUUAACAACAAUGCAGCUGAAUCAUCAGUUCACCAGCACCCCCUCUCUCCAGAUCCCUCCUCAGCCUCAUCGACACCCUAUCCUGCUGGACAAUAUCCCACCCCCUUUAGUCCAGGCCAUCAUUAAUCCUAAACGGGGUAUGGAGGGAUCCCCCCAGACUCCACAGACCCCCAGUUCUUGCAGCUCACCUGGAUCUGGGAAAUCCUGCUGGAACUUAGAUGUUAGGGUGGUGGUGCUUCUGGUCAUAGUGGCUGGGCUUGUGAUCCUGCUGCUGCUCUACAGACUCCUGCAGCUCAGACACAGACUGAGGUUGGCCCGUGCAAGGCACGCUCUGGAGUACUACAGCUUCUUCCACAGCGCCAACUACACCCUCAAGCACCCUGAGCAGAGUCAAGACCUACCAACCAAGAACGGGUCCAUCCUCGAAGCUGCUUCACCUGCCCCUACUCUUACCCCUGUGACACUCGCUGCCACGAUCAUACCAAUUCCACCACCGCCAACGUCUUCUCCACCUCCACUUCCACUGCCCCCUCCUCCUGUUCUGCCUCCACCCCUUCUCCACACUCCACCUUCUCUCCCUCCAGCAACCCCUGUCCUGGCCUUCCCUUUGCCCUUGUCUGUGAUCCACACCGACCCACCAAGCCCUCACCUAUCCUGGGGCGCCUGCUCCGAUGCAGAUGUGUACUCUCGGAUUGGAGCUUAUAAGCCCUCCAGGCUCUCCAGCAUCUCCAACCAUUCAAAAGUCAUCCUGUUUGAACACUCUUCUCUCUGACCUUUGACCUAAACAUGACUACAGACUUCAGGUGUUGAGGCGACUUUAAUGAGUCUCAAAUCUUUUUCAUCACUAAGGCUGAUUGUUUGCUGACUGAACUGUGUACCACUGGUUGGCUAAGUCAUAAUAAUAUAUUAAAUAAACACAAAUGGCUUUUAUUAAUUUUUUAAAAAUAUCUGUGAAGCAAACGCCACUGAAACCAAUCAUAGAACAUAUGUUGCCAUUGCAGUUUUAUACCAUCACUAAGAACAACAGCAGAGUGAGUUAUGCAAACUCACUGUGACUCCUCCAAUUACAGUCAGAAUAGCAGGUUGAUAACAACCUACAAAUAUCCUGACAUUUUGCAGCCGCCAUGAGUUUUAGGUAGCUGGCAAUUUCCUGCAUUUAAGAAGACCACUGAGUUUAAAAGGAGGAUGUCGUCUUUUUGACUCCUGAUGAUCUCUCAUCACUGACAGACACAACAAAAGAAAACAAUAUUUUCUGCAUGCAGUUAUCUGCAGGAAGGUAUAUUUUUUUACAUCACUGCCAAGAAAUCAUUCUAUGUAUUGCAAAAUUCCAAACACUUCUUUUUAUGUUAGUGAUUGUAUGCUGAAGGGUAUGGGAUCUUAUACUUUAGCAUACAUUUAAUUAAUUUAGCUGUUAACAACCCAGAACACCCCACAGCCAAAACAUUUUUUUACAGACACUAGCUUGAGCGGGUAGAAGACAGGUCCCUUUAAUUUGAUGUGAAAGUGCCAAUCAUAUCAAAUUACAACUUUCCAUGAUGAGACAUUUUACCGGACAGCAUUACAAGAUCAAGAUUUAAUUUGAUAGAUGCAAUGCAACUUUAGAUCUUUUAGUUCAAAGCAUGAAACUGACAUUUUGGACAGUUUAUUUUCAACUUUUGUCUAUAUUUGGGAUGUUACAUACACAGUGUCAUCAGAAUGUACAGCAUCCAUUAUCGUAAAAGUACACAGUGUUCACUGAACAACAAAAGGAAAUAAUCUAUAAAGAAACAAGUAUGAUUUAUUUUCUUAAAUGCUCUUACUUUUUUUAUGUCUUAUUCUUAGUGUUUGGUUUUUACAUCGCAGUCAUUGUACGAGAGCCCAUUGUUUUCCAGAUGAGGCAUUUCCUGAGCUGGUCUUCCUUGGCAGUCCCUCCCUGUUUCACACUAUUCUCACUCCUUGUGUUUCCUCUGACUUUCUCUGCUUUACAUUUGUUCACCCAGUCUCAGAGAGAAUUAAGACACUAGUUUUAGAGUGUUUUUGACUAAACACCAACAAAAACUAAAAUUAUAAGUGCAGGUGAACCUUUUGACACACCAAACUGGCAUCAAAGUAUACCAACUGUUGUGCCAUCUAUAUAUGGGCCAUGAUGUAUGUAUGACCAGCCAAGAUUUUUUUACGACCAAGGGUUAUCAAAACACUCUGUUAUGAUUUGGUGGCGUUGGCCUUCAGUUUGCUCCAGUUUACCUCUCAGUUGGAGCUAUUCUGUAUCUUAAUCUGAUCAGGAAUAAGUCUUUCAAAAUGUUGCCAAUGACUCUGGCCCUGUUUUCGUGCAGUGACUUGCUUGUGGGAGAAGAACCAGUCACCAAUUCAACUUGCUGGUUCUGCCAUAAAGCUGCCUUAAACCACAGCUAAGGGCCACAGAUGCUCAUUGACGGUCCCACAUUGGCUCAGCGCCGGUCUGGUGCGUCAGGGUCAUCAAGAUGCACAGACUGAACUGAUCAAAUGUAUCUAGUCUAGACAUGUGGUAUUGUUGUAAGCAUUAGAAGCUACUUCCUCUGGAUCAAUGGCUUUCUAACAUUCAAGGAUGAAAAUUCCUCUCACCCUUAAAACAAUCACGCCGCCAAGUCACAGUGCAUGUCUGCUCUGUCGCACAAUGUUCUCUGUGUUGUCCUCUGUACUGUUCUCUGAGUUGAAGCAGGGGUUGUGCUCCUCUCUGUCAUGCUCUGAUGAACUUCUGUCACUCUGGAUUUGACGUCAUCAAUGCAUAUCAGAAUAAAAAGAAACCAAACUUGGAUUUAAGCAUCCAGAGGGGGUAGACAGAGAUUCAUCUUUAUAAACUAAGAAUCACAGCUUUUUUUUUUUUGUCACCGUAUGAUAUAUACCAUACAGAAUCUUGGUAUCAUUACAAUAUUGUCAUUCAAAAUAUCAGGAUGCUAGAACUACAUCAUGUGAUCCAGCAAUAUUAAUAAAGUAAUAAAACAGAACAUUAA
Molecule: RNA transcript, 4297 nt
Organism: Notolabrus celidotus (New Zealand spotty)
Lineage: Eukaryota; Metazoa; Chordata; Actinopteri; Labriformes; Labridae
Gene name: formin-like protein 13
Exons: 10
Source: RefSeq, a predicted model, not a curated record